Molecule: ribosomal RNA, 494 nt
Filed under: uncultured bacterium
Lineage: Bacteria
Description: bacterial SSU rRNA
Rfam family: Bacterial small subunit ribosomal RNA
Source: RNAcentral
GAUGAACGCUAGCGGCAGGCUUAAUACAUGCAAGUCAAGGGGCUAGCAAUGGCACCGGCGGACGGGUGAGUAACGCGUACACAACGUACCUUUAACUGGGGGAUAGCAUCUGGAAACGGGUGGUAAUACCGCAUGUGGUUGCGAGGAGGCAUCUCCUUGUAACUAAAACUUUGGUGGUUAGAGAUCGGUGUGCGUCUGAUUAGCUAGUUGGUAGGGUAGAGGCCUACCAAGGCGACGAUCAGUAGGGGGCGUGAGAGCGUGAACCCCCACACGGGUACUGAGACACGGACCCGACUCCUACGGGAGGCAGCAGUAAGGAAUAUUGGUCAAUGGAGGGAACUCUGAACCAGCCAUGCCGCGUGAAGGAAGAAGGCGCUACGCGUUGUAAACUUCUUUUGGGUGGGACGAAAAUAAUCCAUUUAUGGAUAGCUGACGGUACCAUCAGAAUAAGCACCGGCUAACUCCGUGCCAGCAGCCGCGGUAAAGGUAGUACA